UACGUAGGGCGCAAGCGUUGUCCGGAAUUAUUGGGCGUAAAGAGCUCGUAGGCGGCCUGUUGCGUCCGCUGUGAAAUCCCGGGGCUCAACCCCGGGCGUGCAGUGGAUACGGGCUGGCUGGAGGCAGGCAGGGGAGAACGGAAUUCCUGGUGUAGCGGUGAAAUGCGCAGAUAUCAGGAGGAACACCGGUGGUGUAGACGGCUUUCUGGACCGUAACUGACGCUGAGACACGAAAGCGUGGGUAGCAAACAGG
This 253-nucleotide ribosomal RNA is filed under the name uncultured bacterium. RNAcentral describes it as "partial 16S ribosomal RNA". It matches the Rfam family "Bacterial small subunit ribosomal RNA", at positions 524 to 776 of the family's 1533-position model. The record is from RNAcentral.